AGUAUUGAAAUCACAAUGGAUUGUAGUGUGUUUGGUCAUGAGAAAAACACCAAAGUGUUAAUCUUCCUUGAUAACAUUCGACACAUGUGUGAGUUGGAGGCACUCGAGGCAUGUUGUAUAUGUGUCUACAUAUGGCGCUUAUAUAAGCAAUGCAAGAAGACAAGCCUUCUUAAAAAAUUCAAAUUUGUUGAUCUGUAUAGCAUGUCACACAAUCCGAAGGUUGAUUCAGCAAAAAAGACAAGAAUUUUGGGGAGUAAGAUGUGUGGUACAUUGACUAAUCAAUUUCUUUUGAUGCCGUGCAACGUGGGUUGGCAUUGGAUCCUUCUUGUUAUUGACCCGCAUAAUGAUACUACAUACGUGUUGGAUCCAUUGAAGGAAGAUCGUCAUUUUACGGAGAUAAAGAUCGUCACAGAAACGUAAGUUCUAUCAUUUUAAAUAUAUCAUUUAUGUAUUUUAGUUUAGAUUUAUAUUUUAAUAUGCGUAGAGCUAUAAAAAUGUUCAAUAAGAACAUAGGAAAAAGAGGAAGACAAAGUCAUGUGUGGGAAGUGAUAAAGUGUCAUCAACAACCUCACGGGUCAUUACAAUGUGGAUUCUAUGUAAUGCGUUACAUGAAAGACAUUAUUGAAAAUUAUGGAUGUGACCGCCCCAAACCAAUAUCUUCAUUGUUUGCUGAAGGAUUUUACUCUGAAGAAAAAAACAAUGAAGUUCGGGAAGAGUGUGCUAAGUGUGUAUAUCGUUUUGUUGAUAAGAAUGAUGAUGAAGAUUCAAGCUAGUUGGAUGAUUGAUUUGUUGGACGAUUGCUGGUGAAUGAAGGCAUAAUUAGUUGGAGAUUUUAUUAGAAUUUUUUUAGUAGAUAAAUAUAGGCGUAACUAGAGACGAUACAAUUGGGGAUGUAAAUAUUUGAUU
Molecule: long non-coding RNA, 906 nt
Organism: Salvia miltiorrhiza (redroot sage)
Lineage: Eukaryota; Viridiplantae; Streptophyta; Magnoliopsida; Lamiales; Lamiaceae
Exons: 6
Source: RefSeq, a predicted model, not a curated record